AUCUUCCGCAAUGGACGAAAGUCUGACGGAGCAACGCCGCGUGAGUGAUGAAGGUUUUCGGAUCGUAAAGCUCUGUUGUUAGGGAAGAACAAGUGCCGUUCAAAUAGGGCGGCACCUUGACGGUACCUAACCAGAAAGCCACGGCUAACUACGUGCCAGCAGCCGCGGUAAUACGUAGGUGGCAAGCGUUGUCCGGAAUUAUUGGGCGUAAAGGGCUCGCAGGCGGUUUCUUAAGUCUGAUGUGAAAGCCCCCGGCUCAACCGGGGAGGGUCAUUGGAAACUGGGGAACUUGAGUGCAGAAGAGGAGAGUGGAAUUCCACGUGUAGCGGUGAAAUGCGUAGAGAUGUGGAGGAACACCAGUGGCGAAGGCGACUCUCUGGUCUGUAACUGACGCUGAGGAGCGAAAGCGUGGGGAGCGAACAGGAUUAGAUACCCUGGUAGUCCACGCCGUAAACGAUGAGUGCUAAGUGUUAGGGGGUUUCCGCCCCUUAGUGCUGCAGCUAACGCAUUAAGCACUCCGCCUGGGGAGUACGGUCGCAAGACUGAAACUCAAAGGAAUUGACGGGGGCCCGCACAAGCGGUGGAGCAUGUGGUUUAAUUCGAAGCAACGCGAAGAACCUUACCAGGUCUUGACAUCCUCUGACAAUCCUAGAGAUAGGACGUCCCCUUCGGGGGCAGAGUGACAGGUGGUGCAUGGUUGUCGUCAGCUCGUGUCGUGAGAUGUUGGGUUAAGUCCCGCAACGAGCGCAACCCUUGAUCUUAGUUGCCAGCA
This 772-nucleotide ribosomal RNA is filed under the name Bacillus sp. (in: firmicutes). RNAcentral describes it as "bacterial SSU rRNA". It matches the Rfam family "Bacterial small subunit ribosomal RNA", at positions 361 to 1123 of the family's 1533-position model. The record is from RNAcentral. Lineage: Bacteria; Bacillati; Bacillota; Bacilli; Caryophanales; Bacillaceae.